CCUGGUAUCGUCUAGUGGUUAGGACACCAGGUUUUGACGUGUCUGAUGUCCUGGUAACCUGGGUUCGACUCCCAGUACCAGGU
Non-coding RNA from Melampsora americana, 83 nucleotides. The record is from the annotation of a GenBank genome assembly. Lineage: Eukaryota; Fungi; Basidiomycota; Pucciniomycetes; Pucciniales; Melampsoraceae.